RNAcentral lists this ribosomal RNA (253 nucleotides) under uncultured bacterium. RNAcentral's name for it is "partial 16S ribosomal RNA". It matches the Rfam family "Bacterial small subunit ribosomal RNA", at positions 524 to 776 of the family's 1533-position model. The record is from RNAcentral.
UACGUAGGGUGCGAGCGUUGUCCGGAAUUACUGGGCGUAAAGAGCUCGUAGGCGGUUUGUCGCGUCGGGAGUGAAAUCCACUGGCUUAACUGGUGGCUUGCUUUCGAUACGGGCAGACUGGAGGUAUGCAGGGGAGAACGGAAUUCCUGGUGUAGCGGUGAAAUGCGUAGAUAUCAGGAGGAACACCGGUGGCGAAGGCGGCUUUCUGGACAGUAACUGACGCUGAGGCGCGAAAGCUAGGGGAGCAAACGGG